RNAcentral lists this long non-coding RNA (1650 nucleotides) under Anser brachyrhynchus (Pink-footed goose). RNAcentral's name for it is "lncRNA (ENSABRG00000015115.1)". Lineage: Eukaryota; Metazoa; Chordata; Aves; Anseriformes; Anatidae. The record is from RNAcentral.
AGCAAAGAGAAGGAAAUCGUACAGGCAGCACAAGUCUGAGAAAAAUAGAUCAAGUGAGGAAAAAAGUUUGCAGCAGGCAACUUAGCACAGUUAGUUUUAAAAACAGCUGUAACUAGCAUCCAGUUCUACUGAGCUAGGCAGAACCAUCUCCAGUACAGCAUCCUGUUCCUCAAUCUCUAUCCUUUGAAUGGGAACUCAGCAUUUAGCAGUCUUCUGUUUUGUCGUUUUGUAGUUUUGUUUUUUUUUUCACGAUGAUGUAUGUUUUUUUAAAGUACUCAGAAAACAUCAUUACAAUAUUUUUUCAGAGUAUUCACUGAUGGAUUACCUUUCUCAUUUUUGGAAGUUUUUGAUUAAAAGCUGCAUGUAGCAAUUUGGGCCACAUUACUAGCACAAGAAACAGGUCCGUGAAUGAGGCACUUUGACUGAAAUAGCCUUGAAGAGCUGCUGCUUCCUCAUCACUCCUUCUGUUUUUCCUGGCUGUCAGAUUUCCAGGAGUUUGACUUAACACACUUAACAGAUUUUUUUUUUUUUUAUGAUUGCAGCAUGUCAUGGUGGGUAUGGUAGAAUAUCUGUGUGAUGAGCAGCUAUAGUGAAAUAAUUCCAGUUUAAUAUUACAUUGCAGUUUCUUUAUGCCAACUCUUUACUUCAUUAUUGAUGGAAUUGAAAUUUUAUGCAUGGUAUCCUAUCUCUGUCCCUAAUAGAAAGGCAUAAUCUGACAGUGCUUUUUAGUCACGAGUCAUCUUGUUCAGUCUUUCACUGCCUUGGGAUAGUUUUAGACUUAGCCAUUUUUAUUUAUUAUUAAUCAUAUCACUGGGACAUAUGAAUUGAUUCUCUGCAUAUUUGCAUGUGCCCAUUGCUUCAUUUCCAGAUGUUGAUACAAAGGCUUAACCAUCACAGCAUGCGAAGACAGCACCAUCUCUUGGGCUUCAAAUACUGUAACCAUGUUGUGGAACUGUGUUCUUGUUUCUGUAACGUGAGUAGAAACCAUGUGCUCUGUAGUAAUGAAGAUACUGAAAAGAACGAUAGCAGCACUGGUGUCUUACUGAAAUUGAGCAAUUAAGGUAUACAGAAGCAAAACAAAAUUCUUUGGUGGAGGGUAACAUUUGAAAAAUGGUGUUAUUCUUGAUAACAAAUAGGAGAGAGCAGAAUCGGCAGCUGUAAUCAGCUCAUGGGUGGUAAGUGCCACCCACACCAUGAAAUGUUGGCUUCAGUCUGACUUUCUGCUUUUUUGUUCUUUGUCAAUUACAGAGCUAAAGGAGGAGGGAAAAACAACCUCCAAGUCAGUCUUACAUAAUACUUUGUUUUGUAAAGGUUCUACUAAUCAUGUCAAUACUGAGCCUCUAGUAGCUAGUUUUUGGUAAUUACAUUGGAAAUGCCCAGUUUGUACAUAGUAAUUCCAACUAUAAUUACCAUGAAAUUAUAUAACUACAAAUUACUCUGUCAUGUGGAUGGCCUAAAUAAGCGUGUAUAGUACCUGCUCUGUGAUAACAAAUUAGAAUUACAUGGUUGGUUAGCUAGUAGUAAUACGAGAUUUUUUGAAGUGGCCAACCAAGCUGGCGAGUUAUGUGGGAAGAACGUGUGUUUUUUUUUUUUUCUAACUCGUGGUUUAGAUUUUCAAGUAAUAGAUUAUUUCUUUCCCUGCUUGAAGGG